Molecule: long non-coding RNA, 568 nt
Organism: Impatiens glandulifera
Lineage: Eukaryota; Viridiplantae; Streptophyta; Magnoliopsida; Ericales; Balsaminaceae
Exons: 2
Source: RefSeq, a predicted model, not a curated record
AGGAUUUAAACAAUGUGAGAAUUUAUCUUUUCAAUUUAGCCCUAAUACAUUUGAUUAUCUCAUUCCCAUUGCUUGUUAGGUUAUUAGUUAAACAUAUAUAUCAUCCAUUAAUAGUUCAAGCUGAAUAGAUGCUCAUUACGAUUCAUGUUUUUGCAGAUGAAAAAGAGGAUGAUGGAGGAAAAUGGUGCAAAUAAAUAACUACUUGAAAAAGAGGCUGGAAUUGCUUCAGAAGGAGAACAUGAAUCUGUUGGAAAAGGGUUGAAACACUGAAGCAAGAACUCGAAUGGGAUAAGCUUAAAUGCAACUAAACAAAUCGUUCGAUAAAGGCUUGUACACAAAAUUCGAUGUAGAUAUCAUAGACGAGGAAUAGAAGAAGAAGAAGAAUAUCUGUCUAUUCUCCACUGCAAGAAGUUAAGGCGUUUGUUUGAUGAGGGAAUGAUAUCAAAGAUUAGUGGCUGCCAGAACAAACAAUUCAUCAACUCUCUCACCGAAUUGACUAUUUUCUAUUGUCCGGAGUUGAUGAUAUCAGUUGAGGAAUUUGUUGGAAACCUCAAUAUUAAUAAUAAUU